This is a long non-coding RNA of Poecilia latipinna (sailfin molly), 491 nucleotides long. RefSeq lists it as uncharacterized. The transcript has 3 exons. The record is from RefSeq and is a predicted model, not a curated record. Lineage: Eukaryota; Metazoa; Chordata; Actinopteri; Cyprinodontiformes; Poeciliidae.
UUAUUGUGACAUGUAUGAUUGUUACAAUAGAAAUCAUUCAGCUUCAUGUUAUAACUGCAUGGAAGCUGUUUGUUGCGUCUUAUACUUUAAUUCAUAAACUCAACCUGGUUUUAAUUAAGCUCCAUAAGACAAAGAGACUUUGAUAUUGUGAUGUUGUUUUUCUAACUCGUUCAUCAAUGUUUUUAUCUUCAACAUAUGUUUGCAGUCUAAGCAAAUGAAGAUGAAGGAGGAAGCCAGAGAAAUCAGGUGUUAGGAAACUAAAGACUUUCCUGUCUGAGAAGAGGCUCUGACUCCACCAGAUCACCAACCAGCUCUGAAGAUGAACCUUCACAUCGUCUUCAUGAUGGCCCUGUGAUGGACUGGUGACCUGUCCAGGAUCCUCUCAUCUAAUGGCUGCUGGAGAUGGGCACCACUAGCCCCCCUCGCUACCCUGCAAGGAUCAGUGUGUUCACAUCAUGGAUGGAAAGAUUUUAAGGCAAAGAAGACACCCA